This 301-nucleotide ribosomal RNA is filed under the name uncultured bacterium. Its description in RNAcentral is "partial 16S ribosomal RNA". It matches the Rfam family "Bacterial small subunit ribosomal RNA", at positions 509 to 807 of the family's 1533-position model. The record is from RNAcentral.
CAGUCGCCGCGGUAAUACGUAGGGUGCAAGCGUUAUCCGGAAUUAUUGGGCGUAAAGAGCUCGUAGGCGGUCUGUCGCGUCUGCUGUGAAAACUGGGGGCUCAACCCCCAGCCUGCAGUGGGUACGGGCAGACUAGAGUGCGGUAGGGGAGAUUGGAACUCCUGGUGUAGCGGUGGAAUGCGCAGAUAUCAGGAAGAACACCGAUGGCGAAGGCAGAUCUCUGGGCCGUAACUGACGCUGAGGAGCGAAAGCAUGGGGAGCGAACAGGAUUAGAUACCCGUGUAGUCCCUGUCUCUUAUAC